Molecule: long non-coding RNA, 1580 nt
Organism: Lemur catta (Ring-tailed lemur)
Lineage: Eukaryota; Metazoa; Chordata; Mammalia; Primates; Lemuridae
Exons: 2
Source: RefSeq, a predicted model, not a curated record
GGAAUAAUGACAAGAGAAGAAAGUCUGUACAUGUCCAGUACAGAUACAAUUUUUUUCUCAAAUAUUUUUGAUCUACAGUUGGUUGAACUGUGGGGUUUACUUGGGUUUGUCAAGGAAAGGGAGGACUGAGGGGGCUGUGAAAGGAAGUGUGGAGGUGGGGAAAGAGGAGAUUCACAGGGCUCAGUUGCAAUCAUGGAAUACAGUGAAGUGCUGAGAAUGAGCUUCCCUCGCUCAUUUUCUUCCCUUAUGGGACGGGAAAGGUCCGGGCAAGGAGAUUUUAGGAAUCCCAGAAGCUUUAAUGUUUACUGUAUUUUUAAGGCCUAGAAUUUAAACAGUAUUAUAAUCUGUAAGAUUUAGAGAUAUGUUUCAGUUGUUCCCAAAUGCUGGGGCUCAUGAUCUAACACAAGGUUCGUGAUGAAGGUUUCCUAGGCUCAUGCUGUUCCUAACAGACGAGUCCCUCCAAGCUGAGUCAGGAGAGGCCUCUUCUGUGAAACCCUCAGUCAUCAGACACCCGAGUGUAGCCUCAGGGUUUUCCCAAGUCUUGCCAGACACAGGUGGAAAAUCAUCUGGAGGUCGGGUGACUAUGUUCUUCUGUUAAUCCAGAAUACUGAAAUUUGAAUAAAAUAGCAAUGUUGUUUCUUAAUAAUGUAAUAAAUACCCCUGAAACUAACAUCUAUUCAAGAAUAUGAUUGUUCCUAAUAAUUUGUGGCCCUCUGGUAUCCUGUUUGCCAGCUUUUCCCAUCUUACCCCAGAAGUAACUAUUAAUACUCUUUGCAUUUUCUGUUCAUGGUUUUAUUUUAUUGAAAUGCUUUCAUUUAUCAAUAUAUGCAUAUACAAUUGGGUGUUUUAAGCCAUGAUUAUAAUAAACCAAAGUACAAACAAUUAGGGCAUUUAAAUUCCAUUUUCUAUUGAUCAAAUUACAAACAAUGCAUUAUUGAUAAAUGUUGUCUUGUAAUAUUUCUGUGCAUUAGAAUAAAACUUAAAUUUAUUUAAAAAAACAUGUUGGCAUAAGGUAGCCAUUUGUUCUCCUUGGGAAAACCUUAACCCUUUCAUUUUUAGACUCUCACUUUUUAUGAAGUAACGAAGCAAAUGGUAACUUGUAUGAAGAAAGUGGUGAGGUGGAUGGUAGGGAAUGAGGCAGAAAGUUGGCAGAGCUACCUGCUACCUUGGUAUGAUCAGUAGUCAAGAGGCACUGAUGAUGUUACUCGCUUGUGUUAAUAAUAAUUCAAUUUGUAAUCUUUUUUUCCCUUAUGUUUUUAUGUAUUACUACAGCUAAAGAAGUAAACAGCUCAUGGCACAUUUAACAAAAAGAUGACAGGCGGAUACAAAAGCUAUCCAGCAUCUUUGGGCAGCCAUUGAGAUUAUACGGAACCAGAAGCAAAUUGCCAACAUUGACCGUAUUACCAAAUUUCCAAUCAAGAUGUAAAGGGUGAAGAAUCAAAGAACAAAGAAUCAGUAACAAGUGAAAUUUAAGCCUUCAGUCAUGCAGAUUCCUAAUAUGAUUCAUAACUCAUUGUCAUGUUAUUUCUCUAAAUGCCAUGUAUAGUUUAAUGUCCAAUAAAAUCAAGUUACAUAUAUCA